Molecule: long non-coding RNA, 436 nt
Organism: Centropristis striata (black sea bass)
Lineage: Eukaryota; Metazoa; Chordata; Actinopteri; Perciformes; Serranidae
Exons: 3
Source: RefSeq, a predicted model, not a curated record
UUGGAGUUCUUGUUCCCGCCCACCUGAGAUGACACCAACCAGGAAGUGACAGCUUGCCAGGAAGGGAUCUUCAAACUUCUUUCUAACUAAAAAACAAAGGUCUGAAUUUGGGACAUGUCUCCUUCCAUCAUAGGGCUGCAGAAUUAAAGUGGUGAAUAAUACAUGGCUGAAAGCAUCCGUCUCUCUGAGCUGCCUCCUCUGGACAGCAGGGAUCUGAAGCAUCUCUGCACCAUCAUUGCAGCCGGGGAAUGACUGUAACGGCGCUAUAUAGUUGCGACAUCACAACCUUACAGAAGUCCUGACAGCUCGUUUUAAGGCCGUUUCUGAAUAUGUGCUGUGUGCAAGUGUUUUGAUCCUUUCACAGUAUUUAUACAGCAUCGAGACCUGCUUUUUAAUCAAAAAGACAUGAAAAUCUCACUUUUUACAACAUUAAACA